GUGGGGAAUAUUGGACAAUGGGCGAAAGCCUGAUCCAGCCAUGCCGCGUGUGUGAAGAAGGUCUUCGGAUUGUAAAGCACUUUAAGUUGGGAGGAAGGGCAGUAAGUUAAUACCUUGCUGUUUUGACGUUACCGACAGAAUAAGCACCGGCUAACUUCGUGCCAGCAGCCGCGGUAAUACGAAGGGUGCAAGCGUUAAUCGGAAUUACUGGGCGUAAAGCGCGCGUAGGUGGUUUUGUAAGUUGGAGGUGAAAUCCCCGGGCUCAAACUGGGAACUGCCUCCAAAACUGCAUGACUAGAGUACGGUAGAGGGUAGUGGAAUUUCCUGUGUAGCGGUGAAAUGCGUAGAUAUAGGAAGGAACACCAGUGGCGAAGGCGACUACCUGGACUGAUACUGACACUGAGGUGCGAAAGCGUGGGGAGCAAACAGGAUUAGAUACCCUUGUAGUCC
Molecule: ribosomal RNA, 450 nt
Filed under: uncultured bacterium
Lineage: Bacteria
Description: partial 16S ribosomal RNA
Rfam family: Bacterial small subunit ribosomal RNA
Source: RNAcentral